GUGCUCAAUUCAGCAGCACAUACACUAAAAUUGGAACAAUACAGAGAAGAUUAGCAUGGUCCCUGUGCAAGUAUGACACGCAAAUUCGUGAAGCGCUCCACAUUUUU
Molecule: small nuclear RNA, 107 nt
Organism: Dipodomys ordii (Ord's kangaroo rat)
Lineage: Eukaryota; Metazoa; Chordata; Mammalia; Rodentia; Heteromyidae
Source: Ensembl